This 27526-nucleotide long non-coding RNA is filed under the name Durio zibethinus. Its description in RNAcentral is "long non-coding RNA (DZIB_LNC002344)". The record is from RNAcentral. Lineage: Eukaryota; Viridiplantae; Streptophyta; Magnoliopsida; Malvales; Malvaceae.
AAAAAAAAAAAAAAAGGUAUGGACACCAAAGAGCUAAUGAAAUUCACUUAUUUUUCAGUGAAAUGAUGAGCAAUGUCUUCCAUGUACACAUAAAUACUACAUGACCCAAAAAAAAUAUAUGAACCAAACUGCAAGAAAGGGAAUUUUGAGGUAGGUCUAACCCUCAAAGUUACGAGACAACUUUGUUUGAGAGGCCCCAACAAGCAAAAGGAAAAGGGGAAAAAGGUUGAAGAAAUAAUCUUGUCUCAUGUAAUCUUGUCUCAUAAUCACACUCACCUUUGAAAAAGGAAAAAAUAAAAUGAGAUAAAAUUAUUUUUAAAAAAAGGAAAAAAAUUAUAACAAGGGGAAACAAAAAAAAUCCAAUUCAUUUGGACUAUACCAUCUAGAGAUAUAUGAUCUCUUUUUGCCAUGAUCAUCAUUAUCCAUGACCAAAUUGCUUUUCUUUGAUUCAAUUUCUUUUUUUAUGCUAAAGUUUAGUUGCUUUGGGUGCUAGGAGAUUCUCCAAGUAGUAGGUAUUUUGCAUUUUGGUAGCUAUCAUUAGAAUAGGGGAAUAUAUAGCAAAAAACUUGAGGGAGAAGAAAUGGGUGAUCAGCAUAUACUUAUAAACUUAAAUAAAACAUAGAAAACAGCAUAAGAAAAGGAGAGAAAGGAAGGCGAUUUAAAGAGAGCAAAGAAAGGGCAUAUCAAGGCUUUUGUUUCUGCUCAUCAAGGACAGCAGAAAAAGUUAAGUUUGAAGUUCAUGGCAAUCAAAUCAAAAUGAAUGGGGCAUAAUCCACUUUGUUUUAAUAUUUUUAAAAUACUAUUUUAAUCAGGCAAGUAAUCCAAUUUAAGGGUGAAGUUGUUCCAGUUGUUGUAUAUAUAUUUAUUACUAAUAAUGAAUGUUUUCUAAAGUAUUUUAAGUCUUUUUAUAGUAUUCAAAGAAUGAUAUUUGGUUAUUGAUUAAUAGCUUCUUUAUUUGGAAUUCAAAUAAUAUGAACAUUGGAUAUGUUGCUUCAUUUCAAAAGUAAUGAUUCUUCAUCAAAAUCAUGUAUGUUCAUUGAGAAAUAUUUUAAACAAAAAGUGAUAAUUUUUCGUUCAAGUUAUGUACGUUUAUGGAAAGAUAUUUUAAAUAUCUUUUAAGGCUUAUAAAUAUUUCCAAAUAGUUUAUUUUAAGAUACUUCUACAAUCUUUCAAGAAUCAAAUCAUUCUCUCUCAUUCUCAUUUUCUAAUUUAUGGUUCACAUGUAUUUAAGAGAUUCCUGAAGUGUAAUCUUGAUUUUUUUUUUUUUUCGUUUAGACAUUAAAUCCUAGAUACGUUUUCCAGGGUUUCUUAACACUUUGGCCAAUAAAUUAUAUUAUUCUAAAGAAGUUUCUUAAAAUGUCUUAUCAUUUUUUUUUUCCUUUCAUUGAUUACAUUAGUCCAAUUCCAGGUACCAUCAUAGUUGCAAAGAGAACCUAAUAAUAUACAUAUGCAAAUCUUAAGUUAAAUAAAACCCAGAAUUAUGGACAUUGAAUAAUAGUUUAUUUCUUUUCAUUUUUCUUAAAUCCAAAGUAUGCUCUCUGUAUUUUUAACAAAUGAUGGGUUAUGUGUGUGUGUGUGUGUAUAUAUAUAUAUAUAUAUAUAUACCUCUAACAAAUGAUCAAGUGUAAUUUAUUUGAAUGACAUUAUUAGACAUCUUUAUAUUAAUUAAUUAUAUAGUAAAAAAUUGUGAUGGAUUGAUGGUUAAUUGUUAUAACUCUUAGUAAUCUAAUCAGAUCAAUGGCUAGGUCUGAAUGCUUUGGGGGAACCAUGAUUAAAAUCGUAGGACCCAUGAAAAAAAAAAACUUAUAAUUACCAUGAUAAUUUUAUAAUUUUUUUCUCAAAACAAUUAAUAGAUCAGCAAAAUGUAAAGAGGAAACUUUUCUUUCAAAAAAGAGCACUUUCACCAGCUUCCUAGAAGGAUGGCUAUCCUAUCCUUUCGAAUGAAUUCGUAUAUCAAAAAGGAAAAAGGAAAGGUUGGAAAGAAAAAUGAGAAAUUUCCUCAUUCUGUUGUAGUAAGCCUAAAUCCUAAAGUGAUAUAACCUAUCAUUCGUUAACCAUAUGAUAAAUCCUAAUGUUAUUCUUCUUGGCAGUUUUUAAUUAUUUAAGAGAUUGUCCUUUAAAUCAAUUGACAUUUCAUUGAAAUUAGUACUUAAAGUUUACGAGUUCGAUAGAACUUACGAGCGUAAUGUCAUCCUCACUUAGAUAAGUAGUAGGAUAAAAAGGUUUAAGGUUGACUAAAAUUUUAAUAUAUAUAUAUAUAUAUAUUAUAUUACAACAUAUAAUGUUAAAUGAUAAAAAUAGCUUAUGUAGAUACUUAGGUGGAUAAUCUCUUUUAAUGACACAUAGGAUAAUAUUUAUAUUAUUUUAUUUAUCAAAUAAAUUUUUUAAUAAAUUAUUUAAAUUGAAAUCAAAAUCUAUCUGAAAUUAAAAUUUUUGUAUAAAUUUUGAAUUUAAAUAUAUUAAAUCAUAAUUUAUUUUUUCUUUUUAAAUUUAAUGAAAGUUCCAAAUAUAUAUACUUAAUAAAAUUUUAUUUUCUGUCAAAUCAUUCUAUUCAAUAAAUUAUUUAAAUUUAAUAAUUUUUAGAUAAUUAUUUAAAUUCAAAUCAAAAUAUAUCAAAAAUUAAAAAUUAUUUAAUAGAUUAUUUAAAUUUAAUACAUUUAGAUAAGCUAAUAAAUUAUUGACUAGAAAGCAUGUAUUUUUAAAAUAUUAAGAGCUUGCAUCUUUAUAUGAAAAUAUGAGACAUUUGACUAUUGAUAAAAAAAAUUAGAUAAAAAUAUGCUUUUGUUUUGAAAACAAAUAUAAUGUUUUAUUUAUGUUCUAAUUCAAAUAUUUUUAUAUUAUAUAUUUGGUUAAUUUAUUUGUUUCUCCUUAGUCCAUAACUUUUUUAAAUUUUGUUUAGAUUGAUUAUAAUUAACGUUUUAUAUUAUAUUUAUUUUUUGUUUUAUUCAUUUCCCCAAUAUUUUUAUUCUCUAUUAAUUUAUUAACAUAUUUCUUCUUAUUAUUGUAUACCUUUAAUCUUGAUAAAUUAAUACGUAAACUUAUAUUCUCUGUUUCCUUUUACUAUACUUUUUAUUAUUGAAUUUAUUUGUCUACAAUGGAUUGUAUGAGAAGAAUAAUAAUCACUACCAUAUCUAACCCACAAAAAAUGCUAUCAAUUAUAUUAAAAAUAAUUUAAAAUAAAAAAUAUUUCAAAAAAAAGGUUUUUAAGCAUAACAUAAAGAAUUAUUGUUUCCCUUUUAUCUAAAAAAUAACUUUAUUUUGUUGACAUAUAUAGAAAUAAUUGUUAGCUCAAUAUAUUUGUGUAAUAAUUACUUGAAGUAUGUCAAAAAUAAGAACUAAUAAAAAACAAAUAGUUAUGACCAAAUUAAUAAUUGCAUUUUGUUGUUCAAUCAAAUAUAUACAUACAUUAAAUCAACAUUAUGAUAAAAACAAUUAUUAAUCUUAACUAUUUGAAUAUUAAUUCUUGAUUUUUUGUCAAACAAGAAAAAAGCAAUAGUAAAAUUUUUAGUAUUUAACAAAUGAAUGAAGAAAAUAAUUUUUUACAAAAAAAAGAUUUUUAUAAUUUUUGAAAAUUUACAAAAGUUUUAAGCUUUUUUUUAUAAGGACAGUAUCAUUUAUAAUAUAUUAUGUAUAAAUUAUCAUUUAAUUGUAACUUAACAUUUAUAAAUGUAUGAUUAUAUAUUAGAUCAAUAAUUAAAAAAUAAAUUUAAAAUUUAAAAAUUUUAAUAAAAAAUAUCGUGCAUCAUACAGGUUAAAAAAGCUCGUUAUAUAUAUAUAUAUAUAUAUAUAUAUAUAUAUAUAUAAGAGGGACUAGGGGUAUAAUCAAUCAAAUUCAAGUAGAUAUAGUAUUAAGUUCAAGUUCGAGCUCGAUUUGAAAUUCAAAAUUUGAAACUCGGUUCGAACUCGUUUUUCUUUUCAAGUUCGACUAGAAAUAGAAAUUGAGCUACUUAAGCUCGCUCGAUUAGGCUCGAUUAAUAUGUAAAAAUAAGAUUGAUUCUUAUAUUCAACAAAAACUUGAUUAUUUGUACUCGAAUUUGAGAUAUUUUAUUAAUUAAAAUAAUAAAAAUAUAUUUAAAUAUAAAGACUCGAUUAGGCUCAUAAACUACUUAAAUCGAGUAUAAGAAUGCUCGAACUUGACUCGAUCGAUGAGUCAAGCUAUUCAAGCUUAAGUUCGACUUGAUAAUAAUCGAAUCGAAUUCAAGUUUUAUUAUAAUCGAAUCUAAGUAGCGUACGAGUAUUAAUGUAUCAUUUAUAUUUCUAAAAGGGACUGGACAAAAGCUAACUACUGGACUAGUCCAUUUACAGACUUGCCCAAAAAAUCAUCACAUAGGCCCAUGCUUAUUCAAUGUGAGGCCUAAUUGUUGUGUUUUCCUUUUUUCUCUUUUUAUUUUUUUUUUGGGGGGGGGGGGGGGGGGUUUGGGGUGGGGGUCUGGUUGAUAUUAUUCUUUCACUGUGAGUGCAUGUUGGGGUAUUUUCAGGGAUUAAUCAAUACUUAUUAGGUCUGAUGAUGCAUCUAACAAACAGUCCCUCUUCCCAAUAAAGCAUAAGAGUCAUUAAAUUAUUUUUUUUUCUAGCAAAUGUCUUUAGGUCAGCCACACAUGGACUGUCAUGGGGCACCUAAAGUAAAGAUUAGGAAGCCAAAGUUCUCCAAUGUUUGUACUGUUUUCUUCUUCAUACCAAGCAGCCGUUAGACAAGGACAAUGUUGUCCUCUUCCAUUUUCUUUUAUGUGGAAGAUUUGAGAUUGAAACACUGCUCUGCUUUAGGUGAUGGCAUCUUUAUCUACCUUUCCCAUACCCCCUUUUCCCUACAACUUUGGGACAUCCAAUGAAAACCUCACCUUUUUGCUAAGAAGGAAAGAUUACCGCAAACAGGCUUUAGAACCAACAAGAAAAUCUUUGUGAAUUAAUGUUCCAACAGUAUGACGUGUUUGGGGAUUGUAAAACCUUUCAAGUCUAGUCCACAUAAAAUAGCCUUUUCUUUUCUUUUCCAUGUUGAAAAAAUUCUCUAGUUAUUUAUGUGAAUAAGACUCCAGUUUCAAUCACAAUCUAAACAGAACUGAAUUUAUGCAUUUUCAUUACCAAUUCUUCAUGCCUCUUGAAAAAAAAAAAUAGUAUACUUUUUCUAGCCUUGUGAGGGUAGGCAGGCAGUCAUUGAGGGGUAUGUUUUCCUAAAUUUCAGUUACAUUUCGAUAGAUUUUAAGAUGUCACAUGAAAUGUAGGAAAAAAAACAUCAUUGCAUUUCCAGUUUCUUGAUAGGAAAAUUUCUUAGUACUAGAUUUUAUUAAGCAAAUAAGCUGUGUGCCAUUGCUCCUUUUAUUAUGAACCUGGUGUAUAUUUGAGUUUGAACUUCUGAACUAAUCUGGCUACUCAAAGCAAAUACUAUUGCUUGACAUUGAAAUUGAAUGAUUUCAGGUUGUCACCGGAUGAAGAACAUAAGAUACGCAAGCAAUUGGAUUUGAUUCAAAGCUCUUGUAUUUCAAUUUGUAAUCUCUCUUAUCAACAUUAUCCAUAUUAUAUUCAUGUUAACUCUUUCAAGGUGCAUUUUUUUUUCUUUCAAAAGGGUUUUCGAGUUACAUAAUAAGAGAUAAUCUUUUCUCGCUCAUAAAUCUUAUUCUGUCAAUCUCAAGGUUUGAACAAAAUAACCAAAAGAACUAUGAACUUGAAACUAACUAUAUAAAAAGCUCAAAAAAGUUUACUUUUAAUCAGAAGGCUUCAUAAAUGAUAACAUAUCACCUACAAUUAUUGUAGUGUAAUUGAUCAAUCAUAAUUUAGCAUUUAUUUUUAAGUGAUGGAUCCCUAUAAAAUUAUUAUAAAAAAAAUUGUAAAUGAAAUGCUACGUCGAUAAAUUUCCUUGUUCAUUUCUAGCAGGAUAUGUUUCUGGGUUAUAUAAAAAUUGGGCCUCAAGCCUUAUGAAGCAAAUUGGGCCUGAAUAUAUUACUGCACUGCUUUCUAGGACUGUCUUAAAGUCAUACAUCCAUUGGACUGGGUUGGGUUGGAAAAAACAAUUUGUUAGGUUUUUUUUUUUUUUUUUUGUUAAUCGUAUGAAAAAAAAAAGGAUUAAAUUUAAUUUCUAUUUCAUUUUCAAUAUUUGGUAUUAUGGUAAGUGUAUUGGACCUUUAUAAAUGGUCCUAAAAAUUUUUAGUAAGAUAAAUUUUUUUUUCAAGAAUUGAAUGUUUUAAGAAGAAAUAUAUUUAUUUGAUUAGUUAAUCUUGAAAAUGGCUCUUCUGCUUGAAGGUCAAACUACCUUAUGAAUUAAGUAGGCCUUCACCAAUAUCCAGUACUGUCAUCCCUCAUAGAACCCCAGAUGACCGUCUAACAAAGACUGGUUAUGUGAAGCUUUCAGCAUUGUCACAGGUAGUAAUUGAUUAACUUUUUUUUUUCUUUCACGCAAAAGUGAUUGUGAAAGAAACGGUCUGGAUUUGCGGAACAACCCGGUGAUUUUCCACUCCUAUUUUUGUCGUUGAAUAUUUUUUUUUAAUUUGAUGAAAUUUCUGUCCUUAAAUUUCUUGUCUCAAAUCAUUGUGCUGGGAGGUCUUGUGAAAGCUUUGUUUUUAGUUUUUCGCCAUUAAUACAUGCUAUAGCUUAAUCUAAUUUGAUCCAUGAAAUAAAUCUUUGACAAUCUAAAAUAUAACAUAUUGACAUGAUACGAAUAUGAGAUGAAUAAAUGAUACAAAAAUAAUAAUUUAAAAUUUUAAUAAUAUCUAUAUAUAAAUUUAAAAAAAACAUAUUUUAAUUUUUAUAUUAAAUUAUAACAUAUAAUAUUUAUAUAAUAUAUUAUGAAUAUGCGAAUUUUAAUAUUUUACGUUACUAAUAUAUAUGAAUUGCUGUAAUAAGACUAUUGAUUGCCUUAGUCUUGUCCCCUAACCCAUAUGUUAUGAACUAUUGGAAAUGGUCUGAUGCUUUUCUGGAUAAUAGUCUUACACUCAUAAUAGUAGAACCAACACAAUAUCAUAAGCCUUUACUAACUGCACAAAACUUGAAAUUGAACACGGUUCAUAUAUACCAAUAAAAUUAUUUAUAAAAAAUAAACAAUAGUCAAUACAAAAUUUUAUUAAUAAUCACAAUAACAAUAAAUUUAAUACAAUGCACAACCACUCAAAAAAAUGAUGAAAACCAAUGUAACUCACUGCUUCAUAAGAGCAAGAAGAGAGAUAAUAAGAGAUAAUGUAACAGCAACACUGGAAACCGGCUGAGAGAAGGCAGCUCCGGUGUCCAUUGACGGGGCAGGCGCCGUUGCACUGUCCUGAGCUGAUACAGUACUGGUGGCUACUGAGAGGACAACGGCAACAAAAAUGAUCAUAAUGGCCUUAGAGAAGCAAACUUUUGCCAUUUCUGAAAACUAAAUGAAGAAAUGAUUAAAAUUAACGAAAGAAGUGAGAAAGUUACUCAAAUUUCUUACUGUUAGACAAUAUUGAAGGCAAUACAACAUUUCAGGGUGUGGGGGGGUAUAUAUAGGAAUGUGGGGUAUGGUGGACCAACGAAGAAAUGAAGUGGAACCAGCUUGGAGACUUGUUCACAAAGGCCCUUUGAACAGCUCAAAUUGCGGGUGGUUGGUCUUUGAUUGGUUCUCAGAAUGGACAACGGCCAGUUGGAACAAGACACGUUGCAAACGUUAGUUGUUGUUUCAAGAUUUAUAGGUGAUGUGGGUUGGAAUUUUCUCAUGCAAGAAUGGGAAACCUUACCCAACACCAUGUGCCGUGUGCAGCUACAACAAGGCGACUCGGUCUCUAACAACCACUUUUUUGUUUGAUCAUUAAACAUAUCCUCAUAAAUGAAUUAUCCUUGAAAAGAAGAAACCUUUCUAUAUAGGUUACAAAUACAAUUCCUUCAAGAUUAAUGGAAAGCUCUGCAUUACAAAACCAUGAAGUAAUAAAAAGAGAAAACGACUGAAAACCUGAAUGAAUGCAAAUAGAAAGGCCUAGAAACUUUGGCUUUUUAGCUUUGUCUUAUUUUCCAGGAAAACAUUUUCCUUGGAAACUAAGGAUGUAAGUAGUCAAAGUCAUUAUGCUUUUGUUAUUAUCUAUGAAUUAUUGCACCAUUAAGAAAAUACUUUCAUUUGGCUUUCUUCCUACUCUAAGCUAAGCAUAAAUAAAUGAAGGGAACAAUUUUUAUUUUUUUUUUAGAUUUGCAAGACAUUGUAUUCAAGAGAAAGAAUUAUAUAAAACAAUUAUGUCAUGUCAACAUAUAUUUUUUUACAUUUAAAUUAUGUUACAUAAUUAUAUUAUUGAAAAUUUUUAAUUAUUUAUUAUAAAAUAAUUAAUUAACUUAUUUAAAUUAAUAUUCACCAUUUAAUUCUCAUGAGACUUGUAAUAAAUGAUUGAUUUUUUCAAAUAAUAUAAUUACAUGACAUGAUUUAAAUAUAUAAUAAUUGUUUUAUACAAACCUUUCUCUUGUGUUCAAAGCAUUAUUAUUUGUCCUAUAUUAAUUAUUGAUAUAUGGAAUUUGAUUAUAAAAUUAAAAAACAUUAUAAAAUUACACUGACAACAGGACUUGUAAAUUAUAAUAGCUGAUAUCAAACAAAAGAUGAUGUAUAUAUUUUCUUAAAUACUCUAGAUUGCACAACUAAUUAUCUUGCCUAUUCUUCUUUUUAGUUGAUACAUGGAAUUUGAUUUACAAAAGGAAAUAGAUGUUGUACUCCCAAUUUUUUCUCAGUUUGUAACUCAAUUUUAAAAUCUCCGAAUUGUUUGUGACCUUGUCGAGGUGUAGUUUACAGAUAUUUUUACACAUGAAAAUUAUAUAAUUAAUUAUUAAAAUGAAAUAAUCAUAAACUAGAGCUAUUAAUGGGUCGAAAUCAAGUUCAUGGGCGUAGCCCAAUUCCGAACAAGUCCAACACAUGACUUUGAGAGUCAAGUCAAGCCAAGCCUAAUCCGAAUAAUAAUUAAUAAAGGAUUUCAUUUUAAUUUUAAAUAUUGGUAUAAAUAUUUUUAAUAUUUUAAUAAUAAAUAGAAUUUGAACUGACGGGUCAAGAUUUAAGAGAUGUAAACCAUGGAUGCCUGUAAUUCAUUACACAAAAGGAAUAUAAUUACUCCCAAAAAAUAAAAAAUUCACACUAGAAGCACUUUAUUCGAAGAAUCACCUUCAUUACAAUGGUCUAAUGAAGUAACAAAGAAUGAAAUCGGGAAAAAAAAAAAAAAAACCAAUAGAGAAGAGCCAAACAAGCUCUUUUUAAUUUAAUGCUUCAAGAAAGCAAGAAGAGAAACGAUCAAAGAGAAGCCAACAGUUGCGCUAGAAACGCCCACAGAGAAAGCGGCUCCAGCGUCUGGGGCUUGUGACGGCGCCUCGCUAACCUGCGCCGAGGCGGCGGUUAAGAAUGCCAUGACCAAAGCCACCAAAAGAGCCUUCAACACGCUAACUUGCGCCAUUUCAAAAAGAGAGAAGCAGAGAAAUUUUUAUUUUCUACUUUUGCUCUGAAAUUGUAAGAGAAUUUUCUUUGUAUGAAUUUGGGGUUGGGUAUGGAAAGGGUGGUAUUUAUAGGGGAGUGAAAGCCGCGUGGGGCCUACGGAGGGAGAGUGACAGCUGGGUAACGUUCACAUAACAGCUAUUAAAUAAAUUGAGUGAACAGAAGUUACAGCAUAGAGGAGAUUUGUGAACUGCGCAGUUAGAAUCGAAAAGAUUGUGCUGUUGUGGUCGGAAGCCAAUUGGAGGUUGACACGUUUGUCUGAAAGUUGGACGGAUGAAUCUAUGUCGGUGAACGACAUUGCAACCUGGAAGCCCCGUGGGGUUGAUGAAGUUUGGGAACGUGAUAAUUAAUUCAUGCUAUGUUAUAACAUAUACUAUAUGAUCAUUUUUGUUGAUACAACUACUAUAAUCAUUUUGGACAUGUUACUAUGGCAUAAACAUGUCAAUGUACUCGAUUGGUUCAAAAAUUUAAAAUUUCAAUUUAAAAUUUUGAAUUCAAAUUUUAUAACGAGCAAAAUAAAAUAAUUUAUACAAUGAACCUAAUAUGAUUUAAAAGAAAUAGGACCACUCUCCUUUUAUUUAUUUAUGUAUGACAGCCAAUCACAGCAAUUAUAUUACAAAAUUAAAUAUACAAUUAUGGAUUUUGAUAUUUAAUUUUAAAAGAAUCGAUUAAAAUUAUUUAUUUAUUUAUUAUAUUAUUUGAAUUCAAGAAUAAGAAUUAAAUACGUACUCAUUUUUUAAAUUUUUUUCAUAUAUUUAAAUUAUCUUACUUUCAUAAUCACAUUUAUCACAAAUGUAUUGAAUAAUAAUGUUUCAAAAAAAAUAAAAAAUUCAAAUAAUUAACAUAAUUUAUUGGGAUUUUAUGAAAACAAAUUUAAAACAAUCAUAAAGUGUAAAAAAUAAGUAUUGGUUAAAUAUAAUUAUAUGAAUAUAGUAUAUAAUAUAAUUUAUUUGAGGAUUCAAGGGCUCCGCUUGUGGGCCAUUACAAAGUAUAUAUCACUAAUUUGUGAACACAACAAAGAUAUCUAAAAAUUUGGAAACAAAUUAAAAAAAAAAAUGAUAGCACCCAAUAAUAUUAAUUAUCUCAUGGCAGAAUAGAGGUCUCCCCUCAUGAAACCUUCACCAAUGAGGUGAAAAGGGUGGCAUCCCAUAACUCUUGAAACUUUGAAUCAAUGCAACAACAAAGCAAAUCAAAGAUACCAAUAUGGAGAACACGCCACCACAACGGAAACCGGCAAAGUAAACCCCGAUCAGGUGUCCAUUGCUGGAGAAGGAGUGAUAUCUGUGCCAUGGUUCCGGAUACGUAAAACAGUGCCACAACAAACAUUGCCAUCACAAUCUGAGUUGCAGAGAUCCCAAACCCUGCCAUUGACGCUUAACACAAAAUGUAGAGACGACGAGAGAGGGGAAAUUAAUUGAGGUUAGAAUUGUUUGGUUUCUGUAUGAAUUGUGCAAAUGUACUAAGCCUAGAAUUUAUAGGUAUGAUGUGAAAUUUCCUUCAAAUUUCGGAUCCACAAAUGUGAGAACUUAUAAUAACGAUUUCAUUUCCAUGCCUUUUAGGUCACGGCUUGCAUGUGGAAACCCAGAAAACGCUUUGUUUGACUGAUAUAAACUUGGAGAUAUUUAUGUAGCCUUUUUGUUGAAUUUUUCUGUAGCAUUUUAACUUUAAAUAUUAAUAUAAAUAUUUUUAAUAUUUUAAUAAUAAAUAGAAUUUGAACUGACUGGUCAAGAUUUUAGAGAUGUAAACCAUGGAUGCCUCCAAUUCAGUACACAAAAGGAAUAUAAUUACACCCCAAGAAAAAAAAAUCACACUAGAAGCACUUUAUUCGAAGAAUCAACUUCAUUACAAUGGUCUAAUGAAGUAACAAAGAAUGAAAGAAUGAAAAAAAAAAACAGAAAAGAAAAGAAAAAACAAAACCAAUAGAGGAGCCAAACAAGCCCUUUAAUUUAAGGCUUCAAGAAAGCAAGAAGAGAAGCGGAUCAAAGAGAAGCCAACAGCUGCGCUAGAAACGCCCACAGAGAAAGCAGCUCCAGCGUCUGGGGCAGGUGACGGCCCCUCGCUAACCUGCGCCGAGGCGGCGGUUAAGAAUGCCAUGACCAAAGCCACCAAAAAAGCCUUCAACACGCUAACUUGAGCCAUUUCAAAAAGAGAGAAGCUGAGAAAUUUUUAUUUCCCUUUUUGUUCUGAAAGAGAAUUUUGUUGCUUGGAAUUGGGGUUGGGGAAGGGAAAGUAUGUAUUUAUAGGGGGAGUGAACGGCGUGUGGGGCCUACAGAGGGGAUGGGUGACAGCUGGGCAACGUUCACAUAACAGCUAAUAAAUAAAUUGAGUUAGUGGAAAGAGGAGAUUUGUGUCGUACACAGCUGAAAUUGAAAAGAUUUUUGCUGUUGUGGUCGGAAGGCAAUUUGGAGGCUGACACGCUUGUCUGAAAGUUGGGACAGAUGAAUCUUACGUCGGUGGAACGACAUUGGAACUUUGAAACCCUGCGGGGUUGAUGAAGUUUGGCAAGGUGAUAAUCAAUUCAUGUUGUGUUAUAACAUAUACUAGAUGAUCCAUUUUUGUUGAUACAACUAUUAUAAUCAUUUUGGACAUGGUACUAUGGCAUAAACAUGUCAAUGUACUCUAUUGGUUCAAAAACUUAAAAUUUCAAUUUCAAAUUUUAUAAUGAGGCAAAAUAAAAUAAUUUAUAAAAUAAACCUAAUGUGAUUCAAAAGAAAUAGGACCAUUCCCCUUUUAUUUAUGCAUGAUAGCUAAUCCUAGCGAUUAUAUUACAAAAUUAAAUAUAUAGUGAUAAAUUUGACAUUUAAUUUUAAAAAAAUUAAUUAAAAUUAAUAUAUAUUUAUUUAUUACGUUAUUGAAUUUGAAAUUAAAUGCCAUAUAUGAUUAUUUUCAACAACAAAUAUGAUUAUUUUUUUUAAAAUUUUUUCAAUAUAUUUUAAAUGUUCAACCUCAUAUAUAUUAUAAUACAAUAUUUAAAAAAAUCCGAACAAUUAUAUAUUAUUAUUAUUCAAUUAUUUAUAAAGAAAAAAAAUUAAAAUCAAUCAAAAAUAUGAGAAAUAAGUAUUUGGUUAAAUAUAAAUGUAUAACAAAUAUAUAUUUAAUUUUAUUUGAGGCUUCAAGGCUCUGCUUAUGGUCUGCCAUUGCGAAUGUAUAUCACUAAUAUUGUAACAUAACAAAGAUUCUAAAAAUUUGGAAACAAAAUCUUUAAAAAAAAUGAUAGCACCCAAUAUUAUCUCUUAGCAGAAUAAAGGUCUCCCCUCAUGAAAUCAUCACCAGGGAGUCUUCAGGUGGCAUGUCAUAGUCUUGAAACUUUGAAUUCACUGCAACAACAGAGCAACCAAAGAUAGCAAUAUGGAAGAACACACCAACACUCCGGAAACCAGCAAAGUAAACCCUGCUCCGGCGUCCAUUGCUGGAGAAGGAGCGAUAUCUUGUGCUAUGUUUCCGGAUACGUAAAACAGUGCCACAAUUAGAGAUGGCAAAUGAGUCGGGCCGGGUCGGGUCAGUUUUUGCUCGUCCCAAAUUCGAUCGAAUUUUAAACAUCUGAUAAUUUUUUUAUUAUUUUUAUACACGAAUUCAAUCCGAUCCGACAUUGUAUAAAAUCAUAUCUUAUCCGAAAUUAAUAAAAUAUUAUUUUUAAUAUAAAUAUAAAAUUAAAUAUAUAUAAAUAAUUAUAAAAUUAAAUAAAUACUUAAAAAUUAUUUUUAUAUAUAUCAUAUCAGAUUUGCUUAAAACUCGACCUCGACUCGAUUUCGAUUUUUUUUUUUAUGCCACUCAACCUGAUACUUGUUUUUUAAAAAAAAAAUUAACUCUAAAAAAUCGGAUCGGGUCAAAACCCAUCGAUUUCAAGUUUUUUUGCCUUCUCUAGCCACAACAAACGUUGCCAUCGCAAUCUGAGCUGCAGAGAUCCCAAACACUGCCAUUGACGCUUAACACAAAAUGUAGAGACGACGAGAGUAGGGAAAUUAAUUGAGGUUAGAAUUGUUUGGUUUUUGUAUGAAUUGUGCAAAUGUAUAAAGCAAGCUUAGAAUUUAUAGGUGUGAUGUGAAAUUUCCUUCAAAUUUCGGAUCCACAAAUGUGAAAACUUAUACUAACAAUUUCAUUUCCAUGCCUUUUACGUCACGGCUUGCAUGUGGACACCCACAAAUUCUUUAUAUCACUGAUAUAAACAUAGAGAUGUUUUUGUAGCCUUUUGUUGAAUUUUUCUGUAGCAUUUUAACUUGAUCAAUGGACUAAGCAAUUGGGGGAACACAGGUUUUUAGUUAAAUUUGAAAAUUUAUAUAUAUUUACAUCAUAUAAAAUAUUAAUAAUUCAUAUAUUUAUGUUAUAUUUUACACAAAAAUUAUAAAUCACAAUUCGUAUUGAUACAAAAAUAUAAAAUAUUUUUUUAUUUUAUUAAAUUUAUUUUUAAUUUUUACUAAAAUUGUAAAUUAUUUCACAUUCAUAUCUUUUUAUAUAAUUUUUAUGUCAUAUUAUCAUAUAUCAUAUUUUGUAUUAUCACACCUAAUUAUAAUAUACUCUCGAAUAAAUUUUUUUUUUUAAGUAUGUUUUCGUUACCCGCGUGCGAACCUCCCUUUUGCCAGCUAAAUUUGUCGUGGAGAAAAAAAAAUUUGUGAGCUUUCACUAUGAUACUUGGGGACGCAAGGAGUUUUUGGACCCCGACUCCUUUCUUCUACAUUAUUGAUGGGAAAUUAAAUAUCAAAUCCAUAGACAAAACUAGAAGUUAUUAAAAGAAUUUCUAUUCAACCUACAUGGAAAUGUUAUAUCCAAACUACUAAUUGUGUGAAAUUAUGGAAUCUAAAACAAGUUUGGAUAAUCCACUGAUUUGUAUACAAUAUUUACGAAUAAUGUAUAGAAUUAUCAAAUUUGUUAUAUAAUUAUUUAAAAAUUUAUAUUUAAUUUAUUAUCAAUAUAUAAAUUUUAUAUAUUAUCAAUAAAUAAGAUAAUGAUAUCUUAUUAAUGAAGUGAAUCAGAUAAUAUCACUUCAAUAAUGAAUAAAUUUUUAAAAAAUAUUAAUUUUUGUAUAUUAAUGAUAUAACAUAAUUUAAUUUAUUGAUAGUUUAUAAAAUUUAUACACUAAUAAUAUAUUAAAUAUAAAUUUAUUAUUUAAUUUAAUAAUAAAUAUAAGAUUCUGAUUAAAGUAUUUAGAAAAGUUGACUUUCUCUGAGUUUCAUUUAUCAAUCUCUUCAACUUGAGGAAAAUGGUGUGUCCUUUUCAUUGCAAUGGUGUCUUUGAGUGAUUGAUUGAUUAUUAUAACCACAGGCAGCCAUUGUUAAUAUAUUAAUGGAAAGUAAUAAAGGUGAGAGGUCUUUGCUUUAAUUGUGUUCAUUAUGGAAUUGGGUGCGUACCCAAAAAAGAAGGUAAGCUGCCAUUGUUGAAGAGCCUGGCUGGAAAAAUAUUGCUGGGGAAAACUAGACGUUGAGCUCCAUCGAUCUGUUUUGUGGACCUUGUGUUUGUCUGGACUGUUCAUUUUUCUGUCAAAUCUAAAAAGAGAAUAACCCUAUCCACCUGUUAAGGGUUAUUUUUGAACCAAAGGAUAAAUUAAUUUUUUUAUUAGAGAAUGUCAAUAAAUAAUUUAAAAAAAUUUAAUUUUUAAAUCGAUAUAUUAAUUAAGGCUUAAAUAUAUAUUAGAAAAGAUAUAGUAUUUUUUAUCAAUAUAAUAUGAAUAUUAUCAAAUUGACUUAAAAUUUUACGCGUUUAUGAUAAAUACGAGUAAACUAUUAAAUUCAAAGAAUGAUUUGUUGAAAUAUUAAUUGUACAAAAAAUUAUAUGAAAGUGUAAUAAUUUGUAAAUUUAUAUAUUAGUAUAAUUUCAUAGCUCCUCUUCAGAGAGAUCCACUUGGACUUUAUAAAAUAAUAUUGUCUUUCCAUUUUAAUGAGAAAUGCAAAAUUUAAGGGGCAAGUUGUUAAGUAGGUUUUGACAAAGGUUUGCACCACAAAUUCAUCUUUGCAAACUAUCCCAAAAUUUGGGGCCAAUCUCAGUCCUCAAACCUUGCAAAACCAAGCAUGUAAAACCGUCUUUGAGCUGAAAAAAUCCGUUUCUUCCUAAAAAUAGUCAUGGAUUUUACCUUUUAAAAUCCCCUUAGCACCUCAUUCUCCCUUUGACCUGCAAAAAGAAUAAAGUAAAAACACCAACAAAAGCACCAAAUAAAAAUUUUCAUCACCAAAUAAAGGCAGGUCUCUCUGUGCGCUUAUUCUUCUCCAUCAUGGACAUGCAGAAGAUCUCUUGCGCCGUCAUUGUCGCUGCCGCCUCCAUGAGCGCAGUCAUGGCCUCCACUGACGCCCCAGCCGCUUGCUCCAGGCCCAUCCACAGCCUCCAGCGCUGUAUCCUCAACUUUGCUGUUCUUGGCUCCUUGGUUGGGGCCUCCUCGUUUCUUUCUUUGCUACUACUGCAGUAAGCCAAUAAAUUUAUGAAAAAAAUAUGUAUUGAAGAAGAAAAUGAAGAAUUAUUAAUGUAAACUAAUUAGUAGGCCAAAUUUGAUUACUUGGGUUCAACUAAUUGAAGAUUAUUUUCUUCACUUCAUUGUUUAUUGAGUUUCUUAAUAAUUUGCAAUAAAAAGUUACUUGUAUGUAGUAUAUUUCUGAAACUUGAGCGAAUUCCAUGAGGUUGGACGUAAAAGAAAAAUCAUGUGCAUUCAUAGUUUCCCUGGACUAGUCUGGAAUUUGACCAGUUGCUUAAUCAUAUUAAAACCUGAAGCCAUUUUUUAUGAGAUGGAAAGAAAUUCAAACAAUGAACUUGUCACUGCAUGUUGGAAUGGUUUUGAGAUAAUUGGUACUUCUGAGUUCAUUAUAGUUUCUAAAUUGAAUUUAAUAAUUAUUAUUUUUGGAUUUGGAUGUAUUGAGUUCAUUAUAGCAGCCUUCUAAUGAAAUGCACGUGUUUGAUCUGGUAACACUAAAAAGGGUGUUAAGAAUAUCUUCAUUAUUUCCAUCAAAACCAACCGUGAGUCAAAAAUCUGCAAAUUAUGUUUGUUUCUAGAGUUUCUUCUCUUCAAGCAAACCACUCGGAAUAAACACUUUAUGUCAACAGAUUAACAAAAAAAAAAAAAAAGAUUUUCUAACAAUAAUGAAUAAAUUAAUGCCAAGCGCAUAAUGAAAAUCAGGUUCUUCCACGAACUUUUGGGGGGACAUGAGGCUCUUUGUUAACCAAAUUGCUGUUUCUCUAGAUGAGACAGCGUCUUCCACAAAAGGUCGUAGAACACCAGCAAGCUCAUCGAUUUUGUCUUGCUUAAGAAGCCUAGCACAUAGCUCAAGCAGAGACUCCAGAGCAUCGGCUCUUUGUUUGACUUGGAUUCUCCCACACACUCUUAAUUUCAUCAGCACGGAAGGCUGUAAGUCUACUCAGUAACGACACAUCAUUUGAUGUCAAGUGAAUUGGUCGGGCACCAUCUUUCUCUGUUAGAAAGGAGCUAGAAUCAUAUUCUGAUGUUGCUCCUGCAUCAUUUUUACAUGGAAGUACAGCUACUUUCUAAUGACAAGUAGCUCGUGUCACCACCUUCUGUUUUUGCAUUAGGACUACUUGUUUUAUUUGAAGAGCAUCUUCGAUCUACAUCAGUCUCAUAAACAGUAGAUGAUGAACUCCAUCGUCAGGGUACCCAUCUUUAUCAUCACAUCUUAUACUCGAGAUUGUCAUUCUAUUGGAAUCCCCUGAUCUACCAAGAACCUGCACGUCAAGAAACUCUUUUGCUGCUUCAAGAACCUGCAUGUCACAAAAAGUCUCAUCUUUUUUACUUAUAGACUUUAUAUCAGCUUCUGGCAAGCUUUGAGUGUGCUCAGAAAUGGGUUCUUCUUGUUGUGCAGAAGUGGGUUCUCGUUCAUCACGCUGAGAAUUGAAUGCUAUCUCUGAAGUUGACUCCACUUCAGCAUCCUUUGAGGAAUGCUCUUAAACUGAGCCUGUUUGUCUCCAUUGCUAACACUCACUUCAGAAUCAGUGGACUUGUCUUUGGAAUCACUGAUAGAAUUAGAUAUUUUGACAACGCAGCUAGUAGGAUCAACCCUCUUAGUGACAAGGUUGUCUUCUGUACUGGCUGUGGAUGUUGGCUUCUCACAACUAGGAGAACUGCUUAGGUGUAUAUCAGCCAUUGUCCGAAAUGCAUGUAUAUUUUCUUGUCCAUUUGAUACUCCAGUAUCUUGAACCCCCCUGCCCUUUUCAAUCCCAGGUUUGCUGGACAAUGAUUUUCUAGGUGACUUCUCCUUUGGGCUGUUUGUGGGCUUCAUCGGAAGAUAAACAGAAGAUGGGUUUCUGCAGCGAAGGAGAUGAGGCUGCAAAUGGGGUACCUUAAGAGUUCAGGCAGCCUAAAAUAUUAGAAUGCUCUGGGNNNNNNNNNNNNNNNNNNNNNNNNNNNNNNNNNNNNNNNNNNNNNNNNNNNNNNNNNNNNNNNNNNNNNNNNNNNNNNNNNNNNNNNNNNNNNNNNNNNNNNNNNNNNNNNNNNNNNNNNNNNNNNNNNNNNNNNNNNNNNNNNNNNNNNNNNNNNNNNNNNNNNNNNNNNNNNNNNNNNNNNNNNNNNNNNNNNNNNNNNNNNNNNNNNNNNNNNNNNNNNNNNNNNNNNNNNNNNNNNNNNNNNNNNNNNNNNNNNNNNNNNNNNNNNNNNNNNNNNNNNNNNNNNNNNNNNNNNNNNNNNNNNNNNNNNNNNNNNNNNNNNNNNNNNNNNNNNNNNNNNNNNNNNNNNNNNNNNNNNNNNNNNNNNNNNNNNNNNNNNNNNNNNNNNNNNNNNNNNNNNNNNNNNNNNNNNNNNNNNNNNNNNNNNNNNNNNNNNNNNNNNNNNNNNNNNNNNNNNNNNNNNNNNNNNNNNNNNNNNNNNNNNNNNNNNNNNNNNNNNNNNNNNNNNNNNNNNNNNNNNNNNNNNNNNNNNNNNNNNNNNNNNNNNNNNNNNNNNNNNNNNNNNNNNNNNNNNNNNNNNNNNNNNNNNNNNNNNNNNNNNNNNNNNNNNNNNNNNNNNNNNNNNNNNNNNNNNNNNNNNNNNNNNNNNNNNNNNNNNNNNNNNNNNNNNNNNNNNNNNNNNNNNNNNNNNNNNNNNNNNNNNNNNNNNNNNNNNNNNNNNNNNNNNNNNNNNNNNNNNNNNNNNNNNNNNNNNNNNNNNNNNNNNNNNNNNNNNNNNNNNNNNNNNNNNNNNNNNNNNNNNNNNNNNNNNNNNNNNNNNNNNNNNNNNNNNNNNNNNNNNNNNNNNNNNNNNNNNNNNNNNNNNNNNNNNNNNNNNNNNNNNNNNNNNNNNNNNNNNNNNNNNNNNNNNNNNNNNNNNNNNNNNNNNNNNNNNNNNNNNNNNNNNNNNNNNNNNNNNNNNNNNNNNNNNNNNNNNNNNNNNNNNNNNNNNNNNNNNNAUUUAUUUUUUGUUUUAUUCAUUUCCCAAUAUUUUUAUUCUCUAUUAAUUUAUUAACAUAUUUCUUCUUAUUAUUGUAUACCUUUAAUCUUGAUAAAUUAAUACGUAAACUUAUAUUCUCUGUUUCCUUUUACUAUACUUUUUAUUAUUGAAUUUAUUUGUCUACAAUGGAUUGUAUGAGAAGAAUAAUAAUCACUACCAUAUCUAACCCACAAAAAAUGCUAUCAAUUAUAUUAAAAAUAAUUUAAAAUAAAAAAAUAUUUCAAAAAAAAGGUUUUUAAGCAUAACAUAAAGAAUUAUUGUUUCCCUUUUAUCUAAAAAAUAACUUUAUUUUGUUGACAUAUAUAGAAAUAAUUGUUAGCUCAAUAUAUUUGUGUAAUAAUUACUUGAAGUAUGUCAAAAAUAAGAACUAAUAAAAAACAAAUAGUUAUGACCAAAUUAAUAAUUGCAUUUUGUUGUUCAAUCAAAUAUAUACAUACAUUAAAUCAACAUUAUGAUAAAAACAAUUAUUAAUCUUAACUAUUUGAAUAUUAAUUCUUGAUUUUUUGUCAAACAAGAAAAAAGCAAUAGUAAAAUUUUUAGUAUUUAACAAAUGAAUGAAGAAAAUAAUUUUUUACAAAAAAAAGAUUUUUAUAAUUUUUGAAAAUUUACAAAAGUUUUAAGCUUUUUUUUAUAAGGACAGUAUCAUUUAUAAUAUAUUAUGUAUAAAUUAUCAUUUAAUUGUAACUUAACAUUUAUAAAUGUAUGAUUAUAUAUUAGAUCAAUAAUUAAAAAAUAAAUUUAAAAUUUAAAAAUUUUAAUAAAAAAUAUCGUGCAUCAUACAGGUUAAAAAAGCUCGUUAUAUAUAUAUAUAUAUAUAUAUAUAUAUAUAUAUAUAAGAGGACUAGGGGUAUAAUCAAUCAAAUUCAAGUAGAUAUAGUAUUAAGUUCAAGUUCGAGCUCGAUUUGAAAUUCAAAAUUUGAAACUCGGUUCGAACUCAUUUUUCUUUCAAGUUCGACUCGAAAUAGAAAUUGAGCUACUUAAGCUCGCUCGAUUAGGCUCGAUUAAUAUGUAAAAAUAAGAUUGAUUCUUACUAUUCAACAAAAACUUGAUAUUCUGUACUCGAAUCUUGAAGAUAUUUAUUAAUUAAAAAAUAAAAAUAUAUUUAAGUAUAAAGACUCGGAUUCAGGCUCACUAAACUAACCUAAAUCGGAGUAUAAGAAUGCUCGAACUUGGGACUCGAUCGAUGAGUCAAGCUAGUUCAAGCCUCUACAGUCUCGACUUGAUAAUUCAAUCGAAUCGAAUUCAAGUUUAUUAUAAUUCGAAUCUAAGUAGCGUACGAGUAUUAAUGUUCAAUUUUUUAUAUUUCUAAAAGGGACUGGACAAAAGCCUAACUACUGGACUAGUCCCAUUUUACCGGACUUGCCCCAAAAAAUCAAUCACAUAGGCCCAGUGCUUAGUUCAAUGUGAGGCCUAAUUGUUGUGUUUUCCUUUUUUCUCUUUUUUAUUUUUUUUUUGGGGGGGGGGGGGGGGAAGGGGUUUGGGUGGGCAUGACUGGUUUGGGGGGGGGGAGGUUGAUAUUAUUCUUUCACUGUGAGUGCAUGUUGGGUAUUUUCAGGGAUUAAUCAAUACUUAUUAGGUCUGAUGAUGCAUCUAACAAACAGUCCCUCUUCCCAAUAAAGCAUAAGAGUCAUUAAAUUAUUUUUUUUCUAGCAAAUGUCUUUAGGUCAGCCACACAUGGACUGUCAUGGGGGCACCUUAAAGUAAAGAUUAGGAAGCCAAAGUUCUCCAAUGUUUGUACUGUUUUCUUCUUCAUACCAAGCAGCCGUUAGACAAGGACAAUGUUGUCCUCUUCCAUUUUCUUUAUGUGGAAGAUUUGAGAUUGAAACACUGCUCUGCUUUAGGUGAUGGCAUCUUUAUCUACCUUUCCCAUACCCCCUUUUCCCUACAACUUUGGGACAAUCCAAUGAAACCUCACCUUUUUGCUAAGAAGGGAAGAUUACCGCAAAACAGGCUUUAGAACCAACAAGAAAAUCUUUGUGAAUUAAUGUUCCAACAGUAUGACGUGUUUGGGGAUUGUAAAACCUUUCAAGUCUAGUCCACAUAAAAUAGCCUUUUCUUUUCUUUUCCAUGUUUGAAAAACAUUCUCUAGUUAUUUUAUGUGAAUAGAACUCCAGUUUCAAUCACAAUCUAAACAGAACUGAUUUAUGCAUUUUCAUUAGCCAAUUCUUGCAUGCCUCUUGAAAAAAAAACAAUAGUUAUACUUUUUCUAGCCUUGUGAGGGUAGGCAGGCAGUCAUUGAGGGAUGUGUUUCCUAAACUUUCAGUACAUUUCGACUUAGAUUUAAGAUGUACAUGAAAUGUAGGAAAAAACACAUCAUUGCAUCUUCCAGUUUCUUGAUAGGAAAAUUUCUUAGUACUAGAUUUUUAUUAAGCAAAUAAGCUGUUGUGCUCAUUUGCUCCUUUUACUUAUGAACCUGGUUUAUAUUUGAGUUUGAACUUCUGAACUAGAUCUGGGCUACUCAAAGCAAAUACUAUCUGGCUGACAUUGAAAUUGAAUGAUUUCAUGGUUGUCACCGGAUGAACGAACAUAUGAUACGCAAGCAAUUGGAUUUGAUUCAAAGCUCUUGUAUUUCAAUUUGUAAUCUCUCUUAUCAACAUUAUCCAUAUUAUAUUCAUGUUAACUCUUUCAAGGUGCAUUUUUUUUUCUUUCAAAAGGGUUUUCGAGUUACAUAAUAAGAGAUAAUCUUUUCUCGCUCAUAAAUCUUAUUCUGUCAAUCUCAAGGUUUGAACAAAAUAACCAAAAGAACUAUGAACUUGAAACUAACUAUAUAAAAAGCUCAAAAAAGUUUACUUUUAAUCAGAAGGGCUUCAUAAAUGAUAACAUAUCACCUACAAUUAUUGUAGUGUAAUUGAUCAAUCAUAAUUUAGCAUUUAUUUUUAAGUGAUGGAUCCCUAUAAAAUUAUUAUAAAAAAAUUGUAAAUGAAAUGCUACGUCGAUAAAUUCCUUGUUCAUUUCUAGCAGGAUAUGUUUCUGGUUAUAUAAAAAUUGGGCCUCAAGCCUUAUGAAGCAAAUUGGGGCCUGAAUAUAUUACUGCACUGCUUUCUAGGACUGUCAUAAAGUCAUACAUCCAUUGGACUGGGUUGGGUUGGAAAAAACAAUUUGUUAGGGUUUUUUUUUUUUUUUUUUGUUAAUCGUAUGAAAAAAAAAACGGAUUAAAUUUAAUUUCUAUUUCAUUUUCAAUAUUUGGUAUUAUGGUAAGUGUAUUGACCUUUAUAAAUGGUCCUAAAAUUUUUAGUAAGAUAAAUUUUUUUUUCAAGAAUUGAAUGUUUUAAGAAGAAAUAUAUUUAUUUGAUUAGUAAUCUUGAAAAUGGCUCUUCUGCUUGAAGGUCAAACUACCUUAUGAAUUAAGUAGGCCUUCACCAAUAUCCAGUACUGUCAUCCCUCAUAGAACCCCAGAUGACCGUCUAACAAAGACUGGUUAUGUGAAGCUUUCAGCAUUGUCACAGGUAGUAAUUGAUUAACUUUUUUUUUCUUUCACGCAAAAGUGAUUGUGAAGAAACGGUCUGGAUUUGCGGAACAACCCGGUGAUUUUCCACUCCUAUUUUUGUCGUUGAAUAUUUUUUUUAAUUUGAUGAAAUUCUGUCCUUAAAUUUCUUGUCUCAAAUCAUUGUGCUGGGAGGUCUUGUGAAAGCUUUGUUUUUAGUUUUUCGCCAUUAAUACAUGCUAUAGCUUAUCUAAUUUGAUCCAUGAAAUAAAUCUUUGACAAUCUAAAAUAUAACAUAUUGACAUGAUACGAAUAUGAGAUGAAUAAAUGAUACAAAAAUAAUAAUUUAAAAUUUUAAUAAUAUCUAUAUAUAAAUUUAAAAAAAACAUAUUUUAAUUUUUAUAUUAAAUUAUAACAUAUAAUAUUUAUAUAAUAUAUUAUGAAUAUGCGAAUUUUAAUAUUUUACGUUACUAAUAUAUAUGAAUUGCUGUAAUAAGACUAUUGAUUGCCUUAGUCUUGUCCCCUAACCCAUAUGUUAUGAACUAUUGGAAAUGGUCUGAUGCUUUUCUGGAUAAUAGUCUUACACUCAUAAUAGUAGAACCAACACAUAUCAUAAGCCUUUACUAACUGCACAAAACUUGAAAUUGAACACGGUUCAUAUAUACCAAUAAAAUUAUUUAUAAAAAAUAAACAAUAGUCAAUACAAAAUUUUAUUAAUAAUGACAAUAACAAUAAAUUUAAUACAAUACACAACCACUCAAAAAAUGAUGAAAACCAAUGUAACUCACUGCUUCAUAAGAGCAAGAAGAGAGAUAAUAAGAGAUAAUGUAACAGCAACACUGGAAACCGGCUGAGAGAAGGCAGCUCCAGUGUCCAUUGACGGGGCAGGCGCCGUUGCACUGUCCUGAGCUGAUACAGUACUGGUGGUUACUGAGAGGACAACGGCGACAAAUAUGAUCAUAAUGGCCUUAGAGAAGCAAACUUUUGCCAUUUCUGAAAACUAAAUGAAGAAAUGACAAAAAUUAACGAAAGAAGUGAGAAAGUUACUCAAAUUUCUUACUGUUAGACAAUAUUGAAGGCAAUACAACAUUUCAAGGGUGUGGGGUGGUAUAUAUAGGAAUGUGGGGUAUGGUGGACCAACGAAGAAAUGAAGUGGAACCAGAUUGGAGACUUGUUCACAAAGGCCCUUUGAACAGCUCAAAUUGCGGGUGGUUGGUGUUUGAUUGGUUCUCAGAAUGGACAACGGCCAGUUGGAACAAGACACGCUGCAAACGUUAGUUGUCGUUUCAAGAUUUAUAGGUGAUGUGGGUUGGAAUUUUCUCAUGCAAGAAUGGGAAACCUUACCCAACACCAUGUGCCGUGUGCAGCUACAACAAGGCGACUCGGUCUCUAACAACCACUUUUUUGUUUGAUCAUUAAACAUAUCCUCAUAAAUGAAUUAUCCUUGAAAAGAAGAAACCUUUCUAUAUAGGUUACAAAUACAAUUCCUUCAAGAUUAAUGGAAAGCUCUGCAUUACAAAACCAUGAAGUAAUAAAAAGAGAAAACGACUGAAAACCUGAAUGAAUGCAAAUAGAAAGGCCUAGAAAGUCCUAAAUUGCUCCUAGAAACUUUGGCUUUUUAGCUUUGUCUUAUUUUCCAGGAAAACAUUUUCCUUGGAAACUAAGGAUGUAAGUAGUCAAAGUCAUUAUGCUUUUGUUAUUAUCUAUGAAUUAUUGCACCAUUAAGAAAAUACUUUCAUUUGGCUUUUCUUCCUACUCUAAGCUAAGCAUAAAUAAAUGAAGGAACAAUUUUUUAUUUUUUUUUUAGAUUUGCAAGACAUUGUAUUUCAAGAGAAAGAAUUAUAUAAAACAAUUAUGUCAUGUCAACAUAUAUUUUUUUACAUUUAAAUUAUGUACAUAAUUAUAUUAUUGAAAAUUUUUAAUUAUUUAUUAUAAAAUAAUUAAUUAACUUAUUUAAAUUAAUAUUCACCAUUUAAUUCUCAUGAGACUUGUAAUAAAUGCAUUGAUUUUUUCAAAUAAUAUAAUUACAUGACAUGAUUUAAAUAUAUAAUAAUUGUUUUAUACAAACCUUUCUCUUGUGUUCAAAGCAUUAUUAUUUGUCCUAUAUUAAUUAUUGAUAUAUGGAAUUUUGAUUUAUAAAAUUAAAAACAUUAUAAAUUACACUGACAACAGGACUUGUAAAUAUAAUAGCUGAUAUCAAACAAAAGAUGAUGUAUAUAUUUCUUAAAUACUCUAGAUUGCACAACUAAUUAUCUUGCCUAUUCUUCUUUUUAGUUGAUACAUGGAAUUUGAUUUACAAAAGGAAAUAGAUGUUGUACUCCCAAUUUUUUCUCAGUUUGUAACUCAAUUUUAAAAUCUCCGAAUUGUUUGUGACCUUGUCGAGGUGUAGUUUACAGAUAAUUUUUACACAUGAAAAUUAUAUAAUUAAUUAUUAAAAUGAAACAAUCAUAAACCAGAGCUAUUCAUGGGUCGAAAUCAAGUUCAUGGGCGUAGCCCAAUUCCGAACAAGUCCAACACAUGACUUUGAGAGUCAAGUCAAGCCAAGCCUAAUCCGAAUAAUAAUUAAUAAAGGAUUUAAUUUUAAUUUUAAAUAUUGGUAUAAAUAUUGUUAAUAUUUUAAUAAUAAAUAGAAUUUGAACUGACGGGUCAAGAUUUAAGAGAUGUAAACCAUGGAUGCCUCUAAUUCAUUACACAAAAGGAAUAUAAUUACUCCCAAAAAAUAAAAAAUUCACACUAGAAGCACUUUAUUCGAAGAAUCAACUUCAUUGCAAUGGUCUAAUGAAGUAACAAAGAAUGAAAUCGGGAAAAAAAAAAAAAAAACCAAUAGAGAAGAGCCAAACAAGCUCUUUUUAAUUUAAUGCUUCAAGAAAGCAAGAAGUGAAACGAUCAAAGAGAAGCCAACAGCUGCGCUAGAAACGCCCACAGAGAAAGCGGCUCCAGCGUCUGGGGCAGGUGACGGCGCCUCGCUAACCUGCGCCGAGGCGGCGGUUAAGAAUGCCAUGACCAAAGCCACCAAAAGAGCCUUCAACACGCUAACUUGCGCCAUUUCAAAAAGAGAGAAGCAGAGAAAUUUUUAUUUUCUACUUUUGCUCUGAAAUUGUAAGAGAAUUUUCUGUGUAUGAAUUUGGGGUUGGUAUUGGGAAAGGGUGGUAUUUAUAGGGGGAGUGAAAGCCGCGUGGGGCCUACGGAGGGGAGAGUGACAGCUGGGUAACGUUCACAUAACAGCUAUUAAAUAAAUUGAGUGAACAGAAGUUACAGCAUAGAGGAGAUUUGUGAACUGCGCAGUUAGAAUCGAAAAGAUUUUGCUGUUGUGGUCGGAAGCCAAUUGGAUGUUGACACGUUUGUCUGGAAGUUCGACUGAUGAAUCUAUGUCGGUGAACGACAUUGCAACCUGGAAGCCCCGUGGGGUUGAUGAAGUUUGGGAAGGUGAUAAUUAAUUCAUGUUAUGUUAUAACAUAUACUAUAUAUGAUCAUUUUUGUUGAUACAACUACUAUAAUCAUUUUGGACAUGUUACUAUGGCAUAAACAUGUCAAUGUACUCGAUUGAUUCAAAAACUUAAAAUUUCAAUUUGAAAAUUUUGAAUUCAAAUUUUAUAACGAGCAAAAUAAAAUAAUUUAUACAAUAAACCUAAUAUCAUUCAAAAGAAACAAGACCACUCUCCUUUUUAUUUAUGUAUGAUAGUCAAUCACAACAAUUAUAUUAUAAAAUUAAAUAUACAAUUAUGGAUUUUGAUAUUUAAUUUUAAAAGAAUCGAUUAAAAUUAUUUAUUUAUUUAUUAUAUUAUUUGAAUUCAAGAAUAAGAAUUAAAUACGUACUCAUUUUUUAAAUUUUUUUCAUAUAUUUAAAUUAUCUUACUUUCAUAAUCACAUUUAUCACAAAUGUAUUGAAUAAUAAUGUUUCAAAAAAAAUAAAAAAAUUCAAAUAAUUAACAUAAUUUAUUUGGGAUUUUAUGAAAACAAAUUUAAAACAAUCAUAAAGUGUAAAAAAUAAGUAUUGGUUAAAUAUAAUUAUAUUGAAUAUAUAUAUAUAUAUAAUUUAUUUGAGGAUUCAAGGCUCCGCUUGUGGCCAUUACAAAUAUAUAUCACUAAUUUGUAACACAACAAAGAUAUCUAAAAAUUUGGAAACAAAUUAAAAAAAAAAAAUGAUAGCACCCAAUAAUAUUAAUUAUCUCAUGGCAGAAUAGAGGUCUCCCCUCAUGAAACCUUCACCAAUGAGUGAAAAGGUGGCAUCCCAUAACUCUUGAAACUUUGAAUUCAAUGCAACAACAAAGCAAUCAAAGAUACCAAUAUGGAGGAACACGCCACCACAACGGAAACCGGCAAAGUAAACCCCGAUCAGGUGUCCAUUGCUGGAGAAGGAGUGAUAUCUUGUGCCAUGUUUCCGGAUACGUAAAACAGUGCCACAACAAACAUUGCCAUCACAAUCUGAGUUGCAGAGAUCCCAAACCCUGCCAUUGACGCUUAACACAAAAUGUAGAGACGACGAGAGAGGGGAAAUUAAUUGAGGUUAGAAUUGUUUGGUUUCUGUAUGAAUUGUGCAAAUGUACUAAGCCUAGAAUUUAUAGGUAUGAUGUGAAAUUUCCUUCAAAUUUCGGAUCCACAAAUGUGAGAACUUAUAAUAACGAUUUCAUUUCCAUGCCUUUUAGGUCACGGCUUGCAUGUGGAAACCCAGAAAACGCUUUGUUUGACUGAUAUAAACUUGGAGAUAUUUAUGUAGCCUUUUGUUGAAUUUUUCUGUAGCAUUUUAACUUUAAAUAUUAAUAUAAAUAUUUUUAAUAUUUUAAUAAUAAAUAGAAUUUGAACUGACUGGUCAAGAUUUUAGAGAUGUAAACCAUGGAUGCCUCUAAUUCAGUACACAAAAGGAAUAUAAUUACACCCCAAGAAAAAAAAAUCACACUAGAAGCACUUUAUUCGAAGAAUCAACUUCAUUACAAUGGUCUAAUGAAGUAACAAAGAAUGAAAGAAUGAAAAAAAAAACAGAAAAGAAAAAAAAAACAAAACCAAUAGAGGAGCCAAACAAGCCCUUUAAUUUAAGGCUUCAAGAAAGCAAGAAGAGAAGCGAUCAAAGAGAAGCCAACAGCUGCGCUAGAAACGCCCACAGAGAAAGCAGCUCCAGCGUCUGGGGCAGGUGACGGCCCCUCGCUAACCUGCGCCGAGGCGGCGGUUAAGAAUGCCAUGACCAAAGCCACCAAAAAAGCCUUCAACACGCUAACUUGAGCCAUUUCAAAAAGAGAGAAGCUGAGAAAUUUUUAUUUCCCUUUUUUGUUCUGAAAGAGAAUUUUGUUUGCUUGGAAUUGGGGUUGGGGAAGGGAAAGUAUGGUAUUUAUAGGGGGAGUGAACGGCGUGUGGG